Oncorhynchus nerka (sockeye salmon) is the source of this 1959-nucleotide long non-coding RNA. RefSeq lists it as uncharacterized. The transcript is spliced from 4 exons. Lineage: Eukaryota; Metazoa; Chordata; Actinopteri; Salmoniformes; Salmonidae. The record is from RefSeq and is a predicted model, not a curated record.
UUUAGUUCCGUUGUAAUAUUGCAGACCUAUUCUAUCAUAUUUACAAUGAGGUAAUGCACCUACAGAUGUUAUAAUUAAAUGUACUUCAUUUUCCUGGAACAACUAAAUCAUGCCUUCGAGCCGCUCGGAGAGGUUAGUGAGUCGCGCAUGGAAUUAAGUUGCCAUGGUAAAAAAAUAAACAAGAGUUAUCAAUUCACAUUUCAACAACACAUACAUACAUUCAUUGAGACAUUACUUGCUACAACAAACCACGUUUUUUUUGUAGUUAUCAAAGUAUCACAAUGAUUCCUCCAGCUGAUUCUCUGCUGAAAUAUGACAACCCAGUCUUGGUGAGCAGAAACAUAAAAUAAGUCACCAAAGGUAGAGUAACGUUAACAAAACGUGUUUAAUGCUGGCUGCGAACGUUACUUACAGUAGCUGCAGGUAGCUAAAUGUAUCCAUAUAGUGGUAUCUAACAUACAUUAUUACAUCCACAGGCAUUAUUUUGAAAUCAAUAUCAUGCCAAUGUUCCUAGUGAGCGGUGAGAGAUGUCAAACAAUUGUCUUUGCUUUUUUUCAACAUCAAAUUGGCUGAAGAUGGAUAUUCUUCUAAUCUCAAUGAGUACUGCAAAUUCAGGCACAGCCUCAAAGUGGCCCCACAACAGCCUGCCAUGACUGGACCUGUGUCACCUCCACCCAAACCCAAGACCCCCUCAGCCAAUGCCAACAAACCGAGGAGAUCCUCAAUGCCAUCCUACCACCCCGGGAAUGUAUGGAGACCAACCAGCUGUGGGCGCAGCAGGUGUCUAGCACGCUGUGUACCCGCAUGGAUGUGGUGCACCUAUAGAAUCAGCUGGACCUGAAGCUGCAGCAGACAGGCCAUGGAGACUGACAUCUGCCCAGUCCUCAGGGAGCUCUACUCCCGGUGCUUCGAUCUCCGAUGUGUAGAACGAGAAGCGGGACCUAGAGAGACAGGUUAACGAGCAGAAGGCCAAGACUGAGGCCAUUGAGAAGAGGGAGACAGAGAAGGCAGUUGGAGAAGAAACACACAGAGGAGAUUUAGUUCCUGAAGAGAACCAACCAGCAGCUCAAGAGAAUUUGGCAGUACGUCCAACCGGCCUCACAACUGCAGACCACGUGUAACCACGCCAGCCCAGGUCCUCCACAUUCGGCUUCUUCACCUGCGGGAUCUUCUGAAACCAGCAAACCAGACAGCUUAUGAAACUGUGGGUUUGCACAACUGAAUAAUUUUUGCACAAACGGUCAGCUUAUCUGCAUGCUUGUUGUCCUCACCAGGGUCUUGACCUGACUGCAGUUCAGCGUCGUAACGAACUUUAGUGGGCAAAUGCUCACCUUUGAUGGGCACUGGCACGCUGAAGAAGGGUGCGCUUCACAGAUUAAUCCCAGUUUCAACUGUAUCUGUGACGAACAGAUGCAUAUCUGUUUUCCCAGUCAUGUGAAAUCCAUAGAUUAGGGCCUACUGAAUUUAUUUGAAUUGACGGAUUUCCUUAUAUGGACUAUAACUCAGUAAAUAUUUGAAAUUGUUACAUAUUGUUUAUACUUUCGUCCAGUGCCUUCAGGAAGUAUUCAGAACCCUUGACUUUCCAUUUUAUUAGGUUACAACUUUUUUCUGAAAUAUUUAUUUUCCAUCAAUCUACACACAAUACCCCAUAAUGCUUAUUUACAUAAGUAUUCAGGCCCCUUAAUCAGUACUUUGUUGCAGCACCUUUGGCAGCGAUUACAGCCUCGAGUCUUCUUGGUUGACACCACAAGCUUGGCACACCUGUAUUUGGAGUUUCUCCCAUUCUUCUCUGCAGAUCCUCUCAAGCUGUCUCAGGUUUGAUGGGGACCGUUGCUGCACAGCUAUUUUCAGGUCUCUCCAGAGAUGUUCGAUCAGGUUCAAGUCCGGCCCCUCAAGGACAUUGAGUCUUGUUUGGCAUUCGCCAAACCCAGGUUUGUCUGUUGAAGCUGUCCCCAGUCC